CCCUUAGAUGUUCUGGGCCGCACGCGCGCUACACUGAUGCAUUCAACGAGCCUAGCCUUGACCGAGAGGUCCGGGUAAUCUUUGAAACUGCAUCGUGAUGGGGCUAGAUUAUUGCAAUUAUUAAUCUUCAACGAGGAAUGCCUAGUAAGCGUGAUUCAUCAAAUCGCGUUGAUUACGUCCCUGCCCUUUUUACACACCGCCCGUCGCUCCUACCGAUUGAGUGUGUUGGUGAGGAGUUUGGAUUGGCCUCGGAAGGUGGUUCGCCACCGUCCGUAGCUGAGAAGUUCUCCAAACCGCCCCACUUAGAGGAAGGAGAAGUCGUAACA
This 326-nucleotide ribosomal RNA is filed under the name uncultured eukaryote. RNAcentral's name for it is "partial 18S ribosomal RNA". It matches the Rfam family "Eukaryotic small subunit ribosomal RNA", at positions 1470 to 1796 of the family's 1831-position model. The record is from RNAcentral.